AGGCUUUACUAAACCGUACUGAAAACCGACACAGGUGGUCAGGUAGAGAAUACUCAGGCGCUUGAGAGAACUCGGGUGAAGGAACUAGGCAAAAUAGCACCGUAACUUCGGGAGAAGGUGCGCUUACAGUAAUUGUAGUCCCUUACGGAUGAAGGUGAAGUAAGUCGAAGUGACCCGCUGGCUGCAACUGUUUAUUAAAAACACAGCACUCUGCAAACACGAAAGUGGACGUAUAGGGUGUGAUGCCUGCCCGGUGCUGGAAGGUUAAUUGAUGGUGUAAUCGCAAGAGAAGCACCUGAUCGAAGCCCCAGUAAACGGCGGCCGUAACUAUAACGGUCCUAAGGUAGCGAAAUUCCUUGUCGGGUAAGUUCCGACCUGCACGAAUGGCAUAAUGAUGGCCAGGCUGUCUCCACCCGAGACUCAGUGAAAUUGAAAUCGCCGUGAAGAUGCGGUGUACCCGCGGCUAGACGGAAAGACCCCGUGAACCUUUACUAUAGCUUGACACUGAACAUUGAAUUUUGAUGUGUAGGAUAGGUGGGAGACUUAGAAGUAGUCACGCCAGUGAUUAUGGAGUCGACCUUGAAAUACCACCCUUUAACGUUUGAUGUUCUAACGAAGAUGACGAAACGUGGUCUCGGACAGUGUCUGGUGGGUAGUUUGACUGGGGCGGUCUCCUCCCAAAGCGUAACGGAGGAGCACGAAGGUUUGCUAAUCACGGUCGGACAUCGUGAGGUUAGUGCAAUGGUAUAAGCAAGCUUAACUGCGAGACAGACAAGUCGAGCAGGUACGAAAGUAGGUCAUAGUGAUCCGGUGGUUCUGAAUGGAAGGGCCAUCGCUCAACGGAUAAAAGGUACUCCGGGGAUAACAGGCUGAUACCGCCCAAGAGUUCAUAUCGACGGCGGUGUUUGGCACCUCGAUGUCGGCUCAUCACAUCCUGGGGCUGAAGUAGGUCCCAAGGGUAUGGCUGUUCGCCAUUUAAAGUGGUACGCGAGCUGGGUUUAGAACGUCGUGAGACAGUUCGGUCCCUAUCUGCCGUGGGCGUAGGAGAAUUGGUUGGGGCUGCUCCUAGUACGAGAGGACCGGAGUGGACGCACCACUGGUGUUCCGGUUGUGUCGCCAGACGCAUUGCCGGGUAGCUAAGUGCGGAAGAGAUAAGUGCUGAAAGCAUCUAAGCACGAAACUUGCCAAGAGAUGAGUUCUCCCAAUCUAAGAGAUAGUAAGGGUUGUUGUAGACUACGACGUAGAUAGGUCUGGUGUGUAAGUGUAGUGAUACAUUGAGCUAACAGAUACUAAUUGCCCGAGAGGCUUAACU
This 1312-nucleotide ribosomal RNA is filed under the name Haemophilus influenzae. Its description in RNAcentral is "bacterial LSU rRNA". It matches the Rfam family "Bacterial large subunit ribosomal RNA", at positions 1629 to 2925 of the family's 2925-position model. The record is from RNAcentral. Lineage: Bacteria; Pseudomonadati; Pseudomonadota; Gammaproteobacteria; Pasteurellales; Pasteurellaceae.